This 399-nucleotide ribosomal RNA is filed under the name uncultured bacterium. RNAcentral's name for it is "bacterial SSU rRNA". It matches the Rfam family "Bacterial small subunit ribosomal RNA", at positions 28 to 402 of the family's 1533-position model. The record is from RNAcentral.
GACGAACGCUGGCGGCGUGCUUAACACAUGCAAGUCGAGCGAGAUCCAACCGGUGGCAACACUGGUGAAGAUCUAGCGGCGAACGGGUGAGUAACACGUGAGCAACCUGCCCCGAAGACCGGGAUAACAGUGGGAAACCGCUGCUAAUACCGGAUGCCCUUCCAUGGUCGCAUGGCCUAAGAAGGAAGUGGCUGAGUCUAAUAAACUCGGUCCGCUUCGGGAGGGGCUCGCGGGCUAUCAGCUUGUUGGUGAGGUAACGGCUCACCAAGGCUACGACGGCUAGCUGGUCUGAGAGGACGACCAGCCACACUGGGACUGAGACACGGCCCAGACUCCUACGGGAGGCAGCAGUGGGGAAUCUUGCGCAAUGGGCGAAAGCCUGACGCAGCAACGCCGCGU